AUUGAACGCUGGCGGCGUGCCUAACACAUGCAAGUCGAGCGGUAACAGGUGUAGCAAUACAUGCUGACGAGCGGCGGACGGGUGAGUAACGCUUGGGAAUCUGCCUAUUAGUGGGGGACAACCCGGGGAAACUCGGGCUAAUACCGCAUACGCUCUACGGAGGAAAGCCGGGGACCGCAAGGCCUGGCGCUAAUAGAUGAGCCCAAGUCGGAUUAGCUAGUUGGUAGGGUAAUGGCCUACCAAGGCGACGAUCCGUAACUGGUCUGAGAGGACGACCAGUCACACCGGAACUGAGACACGGUCCGGACUCCUACGGGAGGCAGCAGUGGGGAAUAUUGGACAAUGGGCGAAAGCCUGAUCCAGCGACGCCGCGUGGGUGAAGAAGGCCUGCGGGUUGUAAAGCCCUUUCAGUGGGGAAGAAAAGCCGAGUGCUAAUAUCACUCGGUCUUGACGUUACUUACAGAAGAAGCACCGGCUAACUCCGUGCCAGCCGCCGCUGUAAU
RNAcentral lists this ribosomal RNA (503 nucleotides) under uncultured bacterium. Its description in RNAcentral is "bacterial SSU rRNA". It matches the Rfam family "Bacterial small subunit ribosomal RNA", at positions 30 to 524 of the family's 1533-position model. The record is from RNAcentral.